This 83-nucleotide non-coding RNA is filed under the name bovine gut metagenome. RNAcentral describes it as "S10-Clostridia ribosomal protein leader". It matches the Rfam family "S10-Clostridia ribosomal protein leader". The record is from RNAcentral. RNAcentral also lists the same sequence under 1 other name.
UGAUAGCGUGGAAGCGGAGGUUGCCGCUCUUUGAAGCGGGUUAUUUCGUGGAGCGAAUGUCAAUUAAUGAUAACUGGCGACAA